Molecule: ribosomal RNA, 301 nt
Filed under: uncultured bacterium
Lineage: Bacteria
Description: partial 16S ribosomal RNA
Rfam family: Bacterial small subunit ribosomal RNA
Source: RNAcentral
CAGUAGCCGCGGGAAUACGUAGGGUCCGAGCGUUGUCCGGAAUUAUUGGGCGUAAAGGGCUCGUAGGCGGUUUGUUACGUCGGGAGUGAAAACUCAGGGCUCAACCCUGAGCGUGCUUCCGAUACGGGCAGACUAGAGGUAUGCAGGGGAGAACGGAAUUCCUGGUGUAGCGGUGGAAUGCGCAGAUAUCAGGAGGAACACCGGUGGCGAAGGCGGUUCUCUGGGCAUUACCUGACGCUGAGGAGCGAAAGCAUGGGGAGCGAACAGGAUUAGAUACCCGCGUAGUCCCUGUCUCUUAUAU